Molecule: ribosomal RNA, 391 nt
Filed under: uncultured bacterium
Lineage: Bacteria
Description: bacterial SSU rRNA
Rfam family: Bacterial small subunit ribosomal RNA
Source: RNAcentral
GAUGAACGCUAGCGGCAGGCUUAAUACAUGCAAGUCGUGGGGCAGCAGGUUUGUAGCAAUACAGAUGCUGGCGACCGGCAAACGGGGUGCGGAACACGUACAGAACCUUCCUUUGAGCGGGGAAUAGCCCAGAGAAAUUUGGAUUAAUACCCCAUAGUAUAAUGAAGUGGCAUCACUUUAUUAUUAAAGAUUUAUCACUCGAAGAUGGCUGUGCGGCUGAUUAGGUAGUUGGCGGGGUAAAGGCCCACCAAGCCUGCGAUCAGUAACUGGUGUGAGAGCACGACCAGUCACACGGGCACUGAGACACGGGCCCGACUCCUACGGGAGGCAGCAGUAAGGAUAUUGGUCAAUGGAGGCAACUCUGAACCAGCCAUGCCGCGUGGAGGAUGAA